Molecule: transfer RNA, 72 nt
Organism: Lobosporangium transversale
Lineage: Eukaryota; Fungi; Mortierellomycota; Mortierellomycetes; Mortierellales; Mortierellaceae
Rfam family: tRNA
About the family: Transfer RNA (tRNA) molecules are approximately 80 nucleotides in length.
Source: Rfam
GGUCUACUGGCCCAAUGGAAAGGCGUCUGACUACGAAUCAGGAGAUUGCAGGUUCGACCCCUGCGUAGAUCA